GACGAACGCUGGCGGCGUGCUUAACACAUGCAAGUCGAACGGAAAGGCCCUGCUUUUGUGGGGUGCUCGAGUGGCGAACGGGUGAGUAACACGUGAGUAACCUGCCCUUGACUUUGGGAUAACUUCAGGAAACUGGGGCUAAUACCGGAUAGGAGCUCCUGCUGCAUGGUGGGGGUUGGAAAGUUUCGGCGGUUGGGGAUGGACUCGCGGCUUAUCAGCUUGUUGGUGGGGUAGUGGCUUACCAAGGCUUUGACGGGUAGCCGGCCUGAGAGGGUGACCGGCCACAUUGGGACUGAGAUACGGCCCAGACUCCUACGGGAGGCAGCAGUGGGGAAUAUUGUACAAUGGGCGGAAGCCUAAUGCAGCAACGCCGCGUGCGGGAUGACGGCCUUCGGGUUGUAAACCGCUUUCGCCUGUGACGAAGCGUGAGUGACGGUAAUGGGUAAAGAAGCACCGGCUAACUACGUG
RNAcentral lists this ribosomal RNA (468 nucleotides) under uncultured bacterium. RNAcentral describes it as "partial 16S ribosomal RNA". It matches the Rfam family "Bacterial small subunit ribosomal RNA", at positions 28 to 507 of the family's 1533-position model. The record is from RNAcentral.